AUUGAACGCUGGCGGCAGGCCUAACACAUGCAAGUCGAGCGGAUGAAGGGAGCUUGCUCCUGGAUUCAGCGGCGGACGGGUGAGUAAUGCCUAGGAAUCUGCCUGGUAGUGGGGGAUAACGUCCGGAAACGGGCGCUAAUACCGCAUACGUCCUGAGGGAGAAAGUGGGGGAUCUUCGGACCUCACGCUAUCAGAUGAGCCUAGGUCGGAUUAGCUAGUUGGUGGGGUAAAGGCCUACCAAGGCGACGAUCCGUAACUGGUCUGAGAGGAUGAUCAGUCACUGGAACUGAGACACGGUCCAGACUCCUACGGGAGGCAGCAGUGGGGAAUAUUGGACAAUGGGCGAAAGCCUGAUCCAGCCAUGCCGCGUGUGUGAAGAAGGUCUUCGGAUUGUAAAGCACUUUAAGUUGGGAGGAAGGGCAGUAAGUUAAUACCUUGCUGUUUUGACGUUACCAACAGAAUAAGCACCGGCUAACCUCGUG
Molecule: ribosomal RNA, 482 nt
Filed under: uncultured bacterium
Lineage: Bacteria
Description: partial 16S ribosomal RNA
Rfam family: Bacterial small subunit ribosomal RNA
Source: RNAcentral